AAACACCAUUUCUCCGCUCCCUCGAGAACUAAAUGAGGAAACAAGUCGUGAUCGGGAUCAUGGAAACGCGCCCGGUAGAGAGACGAUUCUGAAAGUAACGCACGCGUUGUUUGACAAAGUAACGACAGUGGACACAGCAGCCAUGGCAGCAGUGCCUAGGCUGAGCGCCAAGAUGAGGGCGCUGCCUGGCUCCAACGAACUGUACGAGGUCAGCAGCCAGUGAGACAUAGAUGCCUCCAAUGUGGAUCCACUGGGACCUCAGAGGGAGAGACCAAAGACUGCAGCCAAGAAGCACACAGAGGAUGACGACUUUCCCGAUGAAGAGUUGGGAGACGACCUACUAUCAGAGUAUCCAGUUCAAGUUCCCCUUUUUUAGUCAUUUAGCAGACGCUCUUAUCCAGAGCGACUUACAGUUAGUGAAUACAUGUAUAUAUAUAUUUUUA
Long non-coding RNA from Coregonus clupeaformis (lake whitefish), 443 nucleotides. RefSeq lists it as uncharacterized. Lineage: Eukaryota; Metazoa; Chordata; Actinopteri; Salmoniformes; Salmonidae. The record is from RefSeq and is a predicted model, not a curated record. The transcript is spliced from 3 exons.